GAUGAACGCUGACAGAAUGCUUAACACAUGCAAGUCAACUUGAACUUCGGUUUGGGUGGCGGACGGGUGAGUAACGCGUACAGAACUUGCCUCACAGCUAGGGACAACAUUUGGAAACGAAUGCUAAUACCUGAUAUUAUGAUUUUAGGGCAUCCUAGAAUUAUGAAAGCUAUCUGCGCUGUGAGAGAGCUUUGCGUCCCAUUAGCUAGUUGGAGAGGUAACGGCUCACCAAGGCGAUGAUGGGUAGCCGGCCUGAGAGGGUGAACGGCCACAAGGGGACUGAGACACGGCCCGUACUCCUACGGGAGGCAGCAGUGGGGAAUAUUGGACAAUGGACCAAGAGUCUGAUCCAGCAAUUCUGUGUGCACGAUGAAGUUUUUCGGAAUGUAAAGUGCUUUCAGUUGGGAAGAAAAAAAUGACGGUACCAACAGAAGAAGUGACGGCUAAAUACGUG
This 454-nucleotide ribosomal RNA is filed under the name uncultured bacterium. Its description in RNAcentral is "partial 16S ribosomal RNA". It matches the Rfam family "Bacterial small subunit ribosomal RNA", at positions 28 to 507 of the family's 1533-position model. The record is from RNAcentral.